CAGUAGCUCAGCUGGAUAGAGCAACGGACUUCUAAUCCGUAGGUCGGGGGUUCGAAUCCCUCUUGGC
RNAcentral lists this transfer RNA (67 nucleotides) under marine eukaryotic metagenome. It matches the Rfam family "tRNA", at positions 5 to 66 of the family's 71-position model. From Rfam's summary of the family: Transfer RNA (tRNA) molecules are approximately 80 nucleotides in length. Their secondary structure includes four short double-helical elements and three loops (D, anti-codon, and T loops). The record is from RNAcentral.